Molecule: ribosomal RNA, 508 nt
Filed under: uncultured bacterium
Lineage: Bacteria
Description: partial 16S ribosomal RNA
Rfam family: Bacterial small subunit ribosomal RNA
Source: RNAcentral
GACGAACGCUGGCGGCGUGCUUAACACAUGCAAGUCGAACGGGCCUUGUCCCCUUUUUUUUUGGGGGUGGGGUUAGUGGCGAACGGGUGAGUAACACGUGAGUAACCUGCCCCUCACUUCUGGAUAACCGCUUGAAAGGGUGGCUAAUACGGGGUGUUCUGGCCUGCUCGCAUGGGUGGGUUUGGAAAGAUUCGACCGGUUUUGGGUGUUUUGGUGGGGGAUGGGCUCGCGGCCUAUCAGCUUGUUGGUGGGGUGAUGGCCUGCCAAGGCUUUGACGGGUAGCCGGCCUGAGAGGGUGGGCGGUCACACUGGGACUGAGACACGGCCCAGACUCCUACGGGAGGCAGCAGUGGGGAAUAUUGCACAAUGGGCGCAAGCCUGAUGCAGCGACGCCGCGUGAGGGAUGGAGGCCUUCGGGUUGUGAACCUCUUUCGCCAGUGAAGAAGGUCCUGCUCUUUGUGGUGGGGUUGACGGUAGCUGGGUUAAUGAAGCGCCGGCUAACUACGUG